Molecule: ribosomal RNA, 443 nt
Filed under: uncultured bacterium
Lineage: Bacteria
Description: partial 16S ribosomal RNA
Rfam family: Bacterial small subunit ribosomal RNA
Source: RNAcentral
CCUACGGGUGGCAGCAGUGGGGAAUAUUGGGCAAUGGGCGCAAGCCUGACCCAGCAACGCCGCGUGAAGGAAGAAGGCUUUCGGGUUGUAAACCUCUUUUGUCAGGGACGAAGCAAGUGACGGUCCCUGACGAAUAAGCCACUGCUAACUACGCGCCAGCAGCCGCGGUAAUACGUAGGUGGCAAGCGUUAUCCGGAUUUACUGGGUGUAAAGGGCGUGUAGGCGGGGAAGCAAGUCAGAUGUGAAAACCACGGGCUCAACCUGUGACCUGCAUUUGAAACUGUUUUUCUUGAGUGCAGGAGAGGUAGGCGGAAUGCCGGGUGUAGCGGUGAAAUGCGUAGAGAUAAGGAGGAACACCGGUGGCGAAGGCGGAUUACUGGACAGUAACUGACGCUGAGGCGCGAAAGCGUGGGGAGCAAACAGGAUUAGAUACCCCAGUAGUC